AUUGAACGCUGGCGGAAUGCUUUACACAUGCAAGUCGAACGGCAGCACGGGUGCUUGCACCUGGUGGCGAGUGGCGAACGGGUGAGUAACAUAUCGGAACGUACCCAGUAAUGGGGGAUAACUAGUCGAAAGAUUAGCUAAUACCGCAUACGCCCUGAGGGGGAAAGCGGGGGACCGUAAGGCCUCGCGUUAUUGGAGCGGCCGAUAUCUGAUUAGCUAGUUGGUGGGGUAAAGGCCUACCAAGGCGACGAUCAGUAGCUGGUCUGAGAGGAUGAUCAGCCACACUGGAACUGAGACACGGUCCAGACUCCUACGGGAGGCAGCAGUGGGGAAUUUUGGACAAUGGGGGAAACCCUGAUCCAGCAAUGCCGCGUGUGUGACGAAGGCCUUCGGGUUGUAAAGCACUUUGUCGGGAACGAAACGGCGCUUUCUAAUACAGAGCGCUAAUGACGGUACCCGCAGAAUAAAGCACCGGCUAACUACGUGCCAGCAGCCGCGGUAAU
RNAcentral lists this ribosomal RNA (503 nucleotides) under uncultured bacterium. RNAcentral's name for it is "bacterial SSU rRNA". It matches the Rfam family "Bacterial small subunit ribosomal RNA", at positions 30 to 524 of the family's 1533-position model. The record is from RNAcentral.